GAUGAAGAACGCAGCUAAAUGCGAUAAGUAAUGUGAAUUGCAGAAUUCAGUGAAUCAUCGAAUCUUUGAACGCACAUUGCGCCCGUCAGUAUUCUGGCGGGCAUGCCUGUUCGAGCGUCAUUACGCCCCUCAAGUCCCCUGUGGACUUGGUGUUGGGGAUCGGCGAGGCUGGUUUUCCAGCACAGCCGUCCCUUAAAUUAAUUGGCGGUCUCGCCGUGGCCCUCCUCUGCGCAGUAGUAAAACACUCGCAACAGGAGCCCGGCGCGGUCCACUGCCGUAAAACCCCCCAACUUUUUAUAGUUGACCUCGAAUCAGGUAGGACUACCCGCUGAACUUAAGCAUAUCAAUAAGCGGAGGA
Molecule: unclassified non-coding RNA, 358 nt
Filed under: soil metagenome
Description: partial contains 5.8S ribosomal RNA, internal transcribed spacer 2, and large subunit ribosomal RNA
Rfam family: 5.8S ribosomal RNA (bases 1-120)
Source: RNAcentral